UAGGGAAUCUUCGGCAAUGGGGGGAACCCUGACCGAGCAACGCCGCGUGAGUGAAGAAGGUUUUCGGAUCGUAAAGCUCUGUUGUUAAGGAAGAACGAGUGUGAGAAUGGAAAGUUCAUGCUGUGACGGUACUUAACCAGAAAGGGACGGCUAACUACGUGCCAGCAGCCGCGGUAAUACGUAGGUCCCGAGCGUUGUCCGGAUUUAUUGGGCGUAAAGCGAGCGCAGGCGGUUAGAAAAGUCUGAAGUGAAAGGCAGUGGCUCAACCAUUGUAGGCUUUGGAAACUGUUUAACUUGAGUGCAGAAGGGGAGAGUGGAAUUCCAUGUGUAGCGGUGAAAUGCGUAGAUAUUAGGAGGAAUACCAGUAGCGAAGGCGACUUUCUGGACACAAACUGACGCUGAGGUACGAAAGCGUGGGGAGCAAACAGG
RNAcentral lists this ribosomal RNA (429 nucleotides) under Bacteroidota bacterium. RNAcentral describes it as "Bacteroidetes bacterium partial 16S ribosomal RNA". It matches the Rfam family "Bacterial small subunit ribosomal RNA", at positions 355 to 776 of the family's 1533-position model. Lineage: Bacteria; Pseudomonadati; Bacteroidota. The record is from RNAcentral.